AGAAUCAACGCUGGCGGCGUGCCUAACACAUGCAAGUCGCACGAGAAAGGGGAGCAAUCCCUGAGUAAAGUGGCGCACGGGUGAGUAACACGUGAAUAAUCUACCUCCGAGUGGGGAAUAACUGAGAGAAAUCUUAGCUAAUACCGCAUAACACUUACGAGUCAAAGCAGCAAUGCGCUUGGAGAGGAGUUCGCGGCCGAUUAGUUAGUUGGCGGGGUAAUGGCCCACCAAGACGAUGAUCGGUAUCCGGCCUGAGAGGGCGCACGGACACACUGGAACUGAAACACGGUCCAGACUCCUACGGGAGGCAGCAGUGGGGAAUUUUGCGCAAUGGGGAACCCUGACGCAGCAACGCCGCGUGGAGGAUGAAGCCCUUGGGUGUAAACUCCUUUCGAUCGGGAAGAUAAUGACGGUACCGAUAUAAGAAGCCCCGGCUAACUUCGCGCCAGCAGCCGC
Molecule: ribosomal RNA, 456 nt
Filed under: uncultured bacterium
Lineage: Bacteria
Description: SSU rRNA
Rfam family: Bacterial small subunit ribosomal RNA
Source: RNAcentral